RNAcentral lists this ribosomal RNA (630 nucleotides) under uncultured bacterium. RNAcentral describes it as "bacterial SSU rRNA". It matches the Rfam family "Bacterial small subunit ribosomal RNA", at positions 1 to 672 of the family's 1533-position model. The record is from RNAcentral.
AGGAGUUUGAUCCUGGCUCAGAAUCAACGCUGGCGGCGCGCUUAACACAUGCAAGUCGAGCGAGAAAGGGGAGCAAUCCCUGAGUACAGCGGCGUACGGGUGAGUAACACGUGGGUAAUCUACCUUUUAGUGGGGAAUAACCCUGGGAAACCGGGGCUAAUACCGCAUAAUCCUGUGAAGGGAAAGCAGCAAUGCGCUGAAAGAGGAGCCCGCGGCCGAUUAGCUAGUUGGUGAGGUAACGGCCCACCAAGGCGACGAUCGGUAGCCGGCCUGAGAGGGCACACGGCCACACUGGCACUGAAACACGGGCCAGACUCCUACGGGAGGCAGCAGUGGGGAAUCUUGCACAAUGGGGGCAACCCUGAUGCAGCGACGCCGCGUGAGCGAUGAAGCCCUUCGGGGUGUAAAGCUCUUUCGGCAGGAACGAUAAUGACGGUACCUGAAGAAGAAGCUGCGGCUAACUACGUGCCAGCAGCCGCGGUAAUACGUAGGCAGCGAGCGUUGUUCGGAAUUACUGGGCGUAAAGAGUGUGUAGGCGGUGCCCUAAGUUCGGUGUGAAAUCUCCCGGCUCAACUGGGAGGGGCGCCGGAAACUGGGGUGCUCGAACGGGGAAGGAAAGCGGAAUUCCUG